AUAUUACUCCCUCCGUCCGGAAAUACUUGUCCUAAAAAUGUACAAAAUGAAUGUAUCUAUAAUCAAAAUAAAUCUAGAUACAUUUACUUCUAGGACAAUUAUUUCUGGACGAAGGAAGUAUUAU
Non-coding RNA from Hordeum vulgare subsp. vulgare (domesticated barley), 124 nucleotides. Lineage: Eukaryota; Viridiplantae; Streptophyta; Magnoliopsida; Poales; Poaceae. The record is from Rfam.